RNAcentral lists this long non-coding RNA (6274 nucleotides) under Sus scrofa (pig). RNAcentral describes it as "lncRNA (ENSSSCG00040047303.1)". Lineage: Eukaryota; Metazoa; Chordata; Mammalia; Artiodactyla; Suidae. The record is from RNAcentral.
GCUGCACCCAUGACAUAUGGAAGUUCCUGGGCCAGAGAUCGAAUCCAGCUGCAGUUGUAACCUACGCCACAGCUGUGGCAAGGCCAGAUCUUUAACCCAUUGCACCAGGCUGGGGAUCCAACCUGCUGUGGCAUAGCAGGAAUUCUAAGAACCCCAAUUUUAUAGAUAUAAACCUAACAUAACGUUUUAGCCAACACUGAAUUUUUUUUAAAAAGAUGUUUUAUGUAGGGUCGGUUCUUUAAAAACAUUCAGAAGUUAGAACAAAGUUUAAUUAGAGGUCAUUUUUCAUGUUCUAGGAAAAAUAAGAAGUUAAACAGAGUUGUGUUCUCAUUUUCAAUAAUGAAAAUCUCCCUUAGGUUUGUAAAAGUAGUAAAAAGGACACAGGAUGAGGACAUUUUCAACUAAUAAGAGUAUAUUGUCAGAGUUCCUAUUGUGGCUCAGUGGUAAUGAACCCAACUAGUAUCCAUGAGGAUGUGGGUACGAUCCAUGGCUUUGCUCAGUAGGUUAAGGAUCCAGUGUUGCCAUGAGCUGUGGUGCAGGUCACAGUUGUGGCUUGGAUCUGUUGCCCACAGCUGUAGCUCUGAUUCUACCCCUAGCCUGGGAACUUCCAUAUGCUGCAGGUAUGGCCUUAAAAAAGCAAAAAAUAAAAUAAAGAUAAAGAAAGAGUCUAUUGUCUUGAUUUGUUGCUGUCCUCAGAAUCUGCUCUGAGUCUUUUACAGGUAAGAACAAGUUAUCCCGUGUUUCAGCUGGUGGCAGCAACUGGACUGAGAAUGUGAGAAAGCAUUGGCCUGUUUGUCCUGUGGUCAGGAGUCUUUAAUCUGGCUGUGGCAUCCUGUGCACUUAAGAUAACUAAGGCAAAGAAGUGGAGGUUACACUGUUUAGGGCCUUGAAUUCCAGGGAAAGGAUUUAAUUCAGUAGGAAACAAUUCACAUUCUUCAUCUGAAUAAGGAGAGAAGGAAGUUUGUUCUCUGUUAAGUCUUUCAACAAAUACUUAUUAUAGAAAAAUAGUAAACUCAUCAUUUCACAUAUAAUUAUUUAAUUACAGUGCCCCUUCCAGCAUUAUGAUGCUCUGAUGAUUUGUAAGUAUAUUCACUGAGACUGACAAAAGAUAGAUAUGGAGUUGGCCCUUGAACCGUGCGUAUGUGUUGCGGGGGGCACAUAGGGAUGCUGACUCUCCACACUCUGAAAAAUCUGGGUAUUACUUUACAGUCAGCCCUCCAUAUCUUUGGUUCCACAACAAGGGAUGUAUCCUACUAUGGGAUCCUAUAGUACCACAGCAAAUGUUUAGUGAAAACAGUUCCCACAUAAGUGGACCCAUGCAGUUCAAACUCUCACUGUUCAAUGGUCAACUGCAUUUUGUUCACUGAACUGUUUUGACCCCAAUGUUUCCGCAUAUCAAUACAGUUUCCCCCUCCUUUGAACUCCCCUAGUAUUUUAUAUCUACUUUAUUACGUCAUAUUUUUAUUUCAUAUUAUCGUUAUAUACAUAUAUGUCUUCUCUUUCUUACCAAAUGUUAAACCCUAGGAACUGGGGCCCAUGUUCAGCCUAUCUUUGUAUACCCUCCAGGGUUCAGCUCCAGAGGCAUUCAAAUAUGUGUUGAAUGAAUAAAUGGUUUAGUUAAUAUCUGCAUCCUAGUGAAAACACUAGACUAAGUUUAAACGUUUUAAGUUGCAUCCUAAUAUUUACUGGAAGAUCCCCGAUGAUAAUGACCGAAAGGAGUAUUUGGAAGUCCAAUUUCUCAUUUCUUUUAACCCUUUGCUCUAUUAAUUUGUCAGCAAUCUAUAAAAUACCAAACUUGUACACAUUGGUUAUAUUUUUAUUGCAAGGGGAUACAUAUCCACUGUAGACAAUUUUAUGUUUUACAAAGAAGCAAAAAGUUAAAAUCUGUCAUAAUUCUAAAUUAAAUAUAACCAGAGCUACUGUUUUAGAGGAGGUUAUGCAGCAGACUUGAUGUGCUUUUUUUGUUUUGUUUUGUCUUGUUUUUGGCUGUGGCCAUAGAAUGUGGAAGCUCCUGGGCCAGGGAUUGAACUUGUACCACAGCAGCAACCCAAGCCCCUGCAGUGACAAUGCCAAAUCCUUAGUGUUUAAUACACAUGGUUAAUCUGCCCUUUAGAAAGGGCAACUAUUUUGUGCUCCCCUUUUGGUGUUGAGAAUAUUAAUCCCAUCAAAAUAGGGUGGAGGAAAAAAAUCACUCCUUUAUAAAUGUGCAUUUCUUUGCAUAGUAAUUUAGUUGAAUAUGUUUUCAUGUGUUCACUAACCAUUUGUAUUUCCUUUGUGAAUUGCCUCUUCACAUUUUGGCUUAUUUUUUUAUUGGGCUACAGGUCUCUCUCUCUUUUUUAAAAAAAUGUUUUUUGAGAGCUAGAUGUGUAUUAAUAACCAUUUUUUUCCAGUCACAUGUCUGUCUUUUAACAUAUUUCCUUUCAGCGUCACCGAUCCCUAGGAAGAGGGUCUGAUAAACUAUCUGAAAGUCAGAUCUGUGAUGACCUCUUCCUCUCAUUUCUAAACUCAGUCAAUGUCAGGAGCUAGAAUGUCUUCCAGGAAGGGAAGCAAACAUAGCAACCACCAGUAGAAUAUUAUUUUCUCUAGGAGGACAACUGUUUUUCGAAACAAUGGUAAAAAUAGCAUUUACAAUUUGAAAAUGCUUUUACUUUUGCUGAUUACUAAAAAUUUUGAACUAAGAUGACUACUUUCUUUUCUAAAAAAAAAUUUUUAUUACUCAAUGAAUGUAUUACAUUUAUAGUUGUACAAUGAACAAGAUGACUACUUUCUUUUCACCCUUAUUCUCAUGAUAGGAAUAUCAUCUGUACUUCUGGCCUAGAAAGGAAUAGAAUAGGAAGUACACGCUCUCAAUGACAAGUCAGAGUUGGUAAUUGCAGUUGACAGUGACGUCUGUUCCUCCACUAUGGAUGCAUUGAAGUGUUCUGGGGUCUGUAUGGGAGUCAUGUAUGGCUGUGCCCCAUCCAUUGAAUAGAGAAUGAGCACUCUUAUGGUGUGUUAGCUAAGAAGUUAGCUGGGGGCAAUGCUGAAAUUCUUUCUUCUUGGAAAAUGGCAACUACGAAGGGGGAGAAAAGUGAAAGAAAUUACAAAAGGGAAAAAGCAAAGCAACAUCUCUGGGAGUGCAGAAGUACACAAAAGUGAAGAAAAGAAAAAGAAAUAGCCAUGUAAAAACAAACGAUUGAGAAGGGAGGCUUAAAAAAAACCCACAUUCUUUAAAUUUAUCAUAGGGUAAUUAUCAAAAUGUGGUGCAAUGUUUAUUUCAAUUGUUUAAACUAUAUAAGUGGGACAUUGAAAAUAUGGCAUAGCUUUUAAAUGUAUUAAAUUUAAAAGUGCAUUUCAAGUGGAAUUUAACCCUCUUACGGCAAUAAAAUACCAGUUAGUGUCUCCCAUGGGGCAUAAAUGUUGAGGGCAGUUUGUUUUCGAAAUCUUUUAAAUUAUUUUAAGCCACACACGCAUAUAGCUAAACUGGGCAUUAGAAACCCUGCAAGCUGUUUGCCAGAAUUCUAAGUCCAGUCAGAUUCCCCUAUUAUUUUCAGAUGUUCCUUCCCUAGCUGCACUUCAGAAGCAAGUGGGAAAAUGGAUCAUUUAUAACUUCAUUGGGGUUAGAUAAAUAAAAGUUGCUUGGUUAGGGGCUCUGUCUAUUUGAAGUCACUGUAAAAUUCAAUGAAAAAUAAUAAUGUGAGAAAAAGGAAUAUAUAUGUGUAUGUGUGAUUGGGUCACGUUGCUGUACAGUAGAAAACUGACAGAACACUGUAAACCAGCUAUAAUGGAAAAAAAUAAAAAUCAUUAAAUAAAAAAAAAUUGGAACACUUUCCUAAAAGAAAAACACAGAAGGAUUUACUGACCUGGGGAUGUUAGUGUAUCUAGGGACAGAGGAAGCAACAGAUAAUAAUAAUUUUUAAUUGUAUUUUUUAAUUUCUCACUUUCUUCCAAACUUUUGUUUACUUCAACACCUUCAAUAGGAAAAGGAGCAAUUCAAGACACAAAAAUGUCACAGGAUCUGGCUAGUUUCAAAACCUCUUAAAGAUUAUGAAAUUAUUAAAAUGUUUAUGAAAACAGUGCUCACGUGAAGGUUGAUUUUCCUGUAGUAGAGCACAAAUUAGAGGAAAAAUUUCAGGCUUCCUGUAGGUAGUUUUAAAGUAUUACUUUAAAUAGUACCAAUUAAGUGUAAAUGUAAAGUUAAUAGUCUAUGGGAGAGAUAAAGCCUGGGUGCUUUUAUUCCAAUUCAUGAGCAAUAAAAAGGUAAAGUAUAAUUGCUUAGAGAGAAAAAACACUAUUAUAAAAAUUAGAGAUUGCUCACCACAAGUCUGACGCAGGUUUGGGAAUCCUGUUUUUCGGAUGGUCGUGUGAGCAGCAUGACUCAAACGACAUCCUCCCUCCUUGGCUUCUUUCCAUAGUUAACCAAAACCCAGUGAUGAAAAUCACAGGAGAGGAAACCACAUCAGGAGGUUUUUAAGUUCUGACAUAAAAACAUGGUUUGCAUCACUGUGGAUGGGAGAUUCUAAAACUUGAAGGAUUUUGAUCAUGAUGAAAGGCAGGUUUAAAAACCACUAGUUGACUCCUUAAUAGUUUCACUUCAAUGAAGUGGAAAGGAACUUUCUUCUAAAACAUUUUUUUAAACAUUUUUAUUUUUUGUCAGCCUGACUUUAUGUCCUGAUUUGUGAGCCCAGACAUCUGUGAACCCUAUUGCUAUGGCUUAAGAUAAUUUUUAAGCUUAAUGAUCUUCACCAUUAUGCAUUAAUAGUAUAAUUUACCCUAUUUUUCCAACUGUGGCAAUAUGGAACGUUAAACAGCUUUUUGCAUCUGUUUUCAAAUGCCCGACUUACUUUCCUGAAUUCUAUAAUGAUUUUACAUUUCUUUCAAAUAUAUAUGUAUGUAAUAUACAAUAUGUAUAUGCACCUCCAAAUACACAUACAUACUCACUACAUACACUAUCUCUACACACACACACACACACACAUACCCUUAUACAGGGAUCAGGAGAAAAAUGUCACCUUCAUAUGUUGUAAGGAAUCCCAAAGAGUUCAAAACCCAGGAUUUGUAGUUAGUACCAAUCCACAGAAAGAUAUAAUAUUUAAUAUCACAAAAUAAUGGACUUUGAGACAAACCAUGCCUCACAACCUCGAACAUGACUAGAAUCCCGGCAGGCUCUCUUGAUUAACUUUGUCUAAACUGACAUAAAAGUAAAAAAUGAAACAUAAGUGGUACCGUUUUUGUUUUGUUUUGUUUUUCAGCUCAAUUGUUAAAAAGCCAGUUAGCUACCUGUGAAUGUUCGCCGCAUACACUAUACUUUGAAGACACGUCACAAUCAGAAGUGCCAAACUCUUAAGCGCUUGCACCUACCCGACCUUCUAUCUGGAAAACCGCUAAUAAAACAGAAACCUGCAAGGCAUUAUUGCCGCCUCAGAGGAGACGUGUUUGUAAUUAAGUAAACCUGGGCCUGAGUUGGCAGAGUCCUGUCUCGCGGAGUCCUCCGUCCUCGCCGAGUGGGAGGGUCACACGGGGAGAGACUAAUAAGGGCAGUGAUGCGUCCCCCUUCCCCACUCGCAGGGCUCUCACUGCUCGCGGUGCGGCAGCCGCGCGCGGACUCCGCUGCGCCUCCGAGGGGGCCAGGCACGCGGUCAAGGUAAGCUGCGCCGCGCCGCGACCCUGCCUCCCACCCGCUCCCUCGCACGCACGCGGCUCCGGUCAUCCGCUCGCGUUUCUGUUCAUUCGCGUGCAUCUCCCUUUUCCAGAAAAGCUGGAAACCCUGCUACACACAGAGAUGGGUCGGGCGGAUAAAUACCGCACACCUGCGAUUACGCAUUCGGAUAGGUAGCUUAAGCAUGGGACCAGUAAGGUUUAGCACGACCUGGCCGCUUGAACACGCUGCGCAUUCUGUAGGUCGUGUUCAUGUGUUCACAUAAUGCAGGCUGCGGGCUUUAUACUUAGUUCUAGGUGGUUCUGCCGGCUCUGUGUUUGUAAGGCAGAACCAGGAGGCUGCUGAUGCGUGAGAACAGACACUAAAUACAGAAGAAAAAAAUAUCUUUGGGGUGAAAUGCACAAAACAAACUCGAUAUGAAUUCAUGCCGUUAGAGCUUAUUUUUUGGUCUCUGUCUAGAGCCGUCCUUCCCUGGAUGCGAGGAAACAGUUAAGGGGCAUAAAUUAGGAAACGCGGGGUUGCGGCACCUCCUCCCCGCCCGGGUUACCGGUUCCGACCUGCGGCUGCUUCUCCCCGCGCGGCUCCCGGGGGCACGGCGCCGGCGUCCCGGGACUCGGCCUCCCGGGCCCCAGCCUC